UCCAAAUUCUUCCGCAGCCUCACACCAGU
RNAcentral lists this small RNA (29 nucleotides) under Bombyx mori (domestic silkworm). RNAcentral describes it as "piRNA piR-bmo-1724962". Lineage: Eukaryota; Metazoa; Arthropoda; Insecta; Lepidoptera; Bombycidae. The record is from RNAcentral.